CCUACGGGUGGCUGCAGUGAGGAAUAUUGGUCAAUGGACGAGAGUCUGAACCAGCCAAGUAGCGUGAAGGAUGACUGCCCUAUGGGUUGUAACCUCCUUUUUAUGGGAAUAAAAAGGUCCACGUGUGGGUUUUUGUAUGUACCAUAUUAAUUAGGAUCGGCUAACUCCGUUCCAGCAGCCGCGGUAAUACGGAGGAACCGAGCGUUUUCCGGAUUUAUUGGGUUUAAAGGGAGCGUAGGUGGAUUGUUACGUCAGUUGUGAAAGUUUGCGGCUCAACCUUUAACUUGCAGUUGAAAAUGGCAGUCUUGAGUACAGUAGAGGUGGGCGGAAUUCGUGGUGUAGCGGUGAAAUGCUUAGAUAUCACGAAGAACUCCGAUUGCGAAGGCAGUUCACUGGACUGCAACUGACACUGAGGCUCGAAAGUGUGGGUAUCAAACAGGAUUAGAUACCCGAGUAGUC
Molecule: ribosomal RNA, 459 nt
Filed under: uncultured bacterium
Lineage: Bacteria
Description: partial 16S ribosomal RNA
Rfam family: Bacterial small subunit ribosomal RNA
Source: RNAcentral